GAUGAAGAACGCAGCGAAAUGCGAUACUUGGUGUGAAUUGCAAAAUCCCGUGAACCAUCGAGUCUUUGAACGCAAGUUGCGCCCGAAGCCAUUAGGCCGAGGGCACGCCUGCCUGGGCGUCACACGUCGUUGCCCCCCCAUCUACUCCUUCGGGAUUGCGGGGGGCGGAUGAUGGCCUCCCGUGCGCCUCGCCGCGCGGUUGGCAUAAAUGCCAAGUCCUCGGCGACGCACGCCACGACAAUCGGUGGUUGCGAAACCUCGGUUGCCCGUCGUGUGCGGUCGUCGCGCAUCGAGGGCUCGAAAAAAUUGCCGGGUUCCGGCUCGGCUUUCAACGCGACCCCAGGUCAGGCGGGGUUACCCGCUGAAUUUAAGCAUAUCAAUAAGCGGAGGA
RNAcentral lists this unclassified non-coding RNA (391 nucleotides) under soil metagenome. Its description in RNAcentral is "partial contains 5.8S ribosomal RNA, internal transcribed spacer 2, and large subunit ribosomal RNA". The stretch from base 1 to 122 matches the Rfam family "5.8S ribosomal RNA", at positions 35 to 154 of the family's 154-position model. The record is from RNAcentral.